This is a long non-coding RNA of Leopardus geoffroyi (Geoffroy's cat), 136 nucleotides long. RefSeq lists it as uncharacterized. NCBI's taxonomy places the organism in Eukaryota, Metazoa, Chordata, Mammalia, Carnivora, Felidae. The record is from RefSeq and is a predicted model, not a curated record. The transcript has 3 exons.
AGGCUGGGGGUCUGAGAUCCAGGCAGGGCUGAGGCUGGGGGUCUGAGAUCCAGGCAGGGCGGAGGCUGGGGGUCUGAGAUCCAGACAGGGCUGAGGCUGGGGGUCUGAGAUCCAGGCAUGGCCAAGUCUGGGGAUC